GACGAACGCUGGCGGCGUGCUUAACACAUGCAAGUCGAACGAUGAAGCCGGAGCUUGCUCCGGUGGAUUAGUGGCGAACGGGUGAGUAACACGUGAGCAAUCUGCCCUUGACUCUGGGAUAACUGCGGGAAACUGUAGCUAAUACCGGAUACGACACCUUGGGGCAUCCCAGGGUGUGGAAAGAAUUUCGGUCGAGGAUGAGCUCGCGGCCUAUCAGCUAGUUGGUGAGGUAAUGGCUCACCAAGGCGACGACGGGUAGCCGGCCUGAGAGGGUGACCUGCCACACUGGAACGGAGACACGGUCCAGACUCCUACGGGAGGCAGCAGUGGGGAAUAUUGCACAAUGGGCGAAAGCCUGAUGCAGCAACGCCGCGUGAGGGAUGAAGGCCUUCGGGUUGUAAACCUCUUUUAGCAGGGAAGAAGCGAAAGUGACGGUACCUGCAGAAAAAGCACCGGCUAACUCCGUGCCAGCCGCCGCCGUAA
RNAcentral lists this ribosomal RNA (483 nucleotides) under uncultured bacterium. Its description in RNAcentral is "partial 16S ribosomal RNA". It matches the Rfam family "Bacterial small subunit ribosomal RNA", at positions 28 to 523 of the family's 1533-position model. The record is from RNAcentral.